UGUAGACGACUUACAUUAUCCCGGGGUGCUGUAAACAUGAAAGUAAACUAUGUUUUACGAUCUGUUGAGGCUUAUCCUCAGUGAUAUAAG
Plasmodium gonderi is the source of this 90-nucleotide ribosomal RNA. Lineage: Eukaryota; Apicomplexa; Aconoidasida; Haemosporida; Plasmodiidae. The record is from RefSeq and is a predicted model, not a curated record.